Molecule: ribosomal RNA, 374 nt
Filed under: uncultured prokaryote
Description: bacterial SSU rRNA
Rfam family: Bacterial small subunit ribosomal RNA
Source: RNAcentral
UACGGGGGGUGCAAGCGUUGUUCGGAAUUAUUGGGCGUAAAGCGCGUGUAGGCGGUCUGAUUAGUCUGAUGUGAAAGCCCUGGGCUCAACCCAGGAAGUGCAUUGGAUACUGUCAGACUUGAAUACGGGAGAGGGUAGUGGAAUUCCUAGUGUAGGAGUGAAAUCCGUAGAUAUUAGGAGGAACACCGGUGGCGAAGGCGGCUACCUGGACCGAUAUUGACGCUGAGACGCGAAAGCGUGGGUAGCAAACAGGAUUAGAUACCCUGGUAGUCCACGCCGUAAACGAUGAGUACUAGGUGUUGCGGGUAUUGACCCCUGCAGUGCCGCAGCUAACGCAUUAAGUACUCCGCCUGGGAAGUACGGUCGCAAGACUA